GUAAAAGAGAAUUCUUCAUGUAGGUAGCCUCGAAAGAUUUUUUUUAAGUUUUUACAUCUUUGGAAGAGUUUAAAAUGAUAACAACUGAGGAGCAAAUACAAAACUAUCCAAGUAGAGAUAUUGUUACUAGUCUUAGUGCAAAGUACAAGGUAUUAUGUAGCAGUUCUGGAAAUAUAGUCGAGAGCCCAUUUCUUUCAAAUAUGUUCUGUGAAAUAUUAGUUUCAAGGGUUGUCCCCAAGAAAGAGUUUUAUUGUUAAGUGUGUCAGGCAGGGGGAGGAGGAAGGAGGCUUGUUUAGACAAAGCAAGCAGACUUCUUUUCCCUAGGACUUCUCCCUGUAAUACACUCAUGCACAUUGUGAAUUUCCAAGGAGUCAAAGCAUACAAUGUUUUUCAGAAUUAUUUAUCGACAGAACCCUUUUGCUCAUGGAACAACUUACAGGGGCUAGAUUUCUCUUUGGGGAAACUAGAAGGGAAUAGAAAGUGGGUUAUUAGGAAAUAAAUCAAUUCCCUGAUAUUGAUAGUUAACAAAGUAUGGGGUUAUUUACAGUGUGUUAUUUUGAAUACAUAUUCAUUAACAAAAUCCAUAUGAAAGUUACAGGAGAAUUGCUAAACUAGAAUAGCAUACAUUGCUCUGUAUUUAUAAUACUCAACAUAUUUACCUGAUGUUUUCUGAGUCUUCACUUUUUUCUUUCUUUUGGAAUUGGUAAAAUAAGUGAUUCCUUGAAAAUUUUUUUCUAAAUAAUACCUAGAUAAAUAGAUUUAUAGAAAAUAGGUAUUUUCUAAAUAAUACCUAGAUAAAUAAGUUUAUAGAAAAAAUAUUAUAUGAAUGUUUUAACAUUAAAUAUGGAGCAUGUAAUUUUUAUACUGAAAGAUACUGUAGUUUUAAUACAUCAAAGAAAUAAUUUUAUGUUUAUUUUGGAAGUAGGAAGAGGAAAUUUCUAUGAAUAGGUUUUCAUCUCUUUCUUUCCCUGUUCUUCAACUUUGAACUUUUUACAUUAUAUUCUAAAUUUUAAUUAUAUUUCAAAAGAUUUUUUUCUUUUGCCUUUUAUUUUGGAGAAAAAUAUAUGUCAAAGUGUAUGUAUGUGUAUUUGUCUUUUGAUUUGAUCUUUUUUGACACUCUUUUGUAUUGACAUUAUUUUAACCAAAGGACACUCUAACGAGAGGAUAUUUUUGAUUGUUCAUGCUACUGGGGAAAAAAGAAUUUAAGUAGAAAUCAGCCUAAUAUUUAUGGCUUAUUUUGAUUGAAGGCCUUGGCCCUUAAAGCAAGUAAAUUUAAUGUGGAGAGAAGAGCUAAUGUAAUGGGGAGAAGGAACCUUUGUUACAGGUGUGGUAGUAUAGUUCUUUGAGUGACAAGAUUUGUUUGCCAACUUGGUUAGGAGAGAUCCGUAUGUCUGCUUUCUCUCUGAUAUGGCCUGGGAUCGCUGUGGUGAAUGAAUGAAAAACCUGUUUCAGGGCCUGACUCAGGAAAAGAGACAUAGCCCUUGAUGUGAACUGAAUUUUCUUGAGACUUGGAGACCUUCAGAACUACCUGAAGACAAAUUGAAGUGCUGCCUACUUUAGAGAAUUGAUGGACUAAUUUGAUUUGGGACUCAGCAGAUUUCAGUAUUAUCAGUCAUCAUAUAUACAGGUGACAAGACCACGUAGUUCAUAUCCUUCUUUUAGAUUCUAUAAGAUUAUUGUGUUCCAGUGAAAUUGAUUUGCAAAAUGAGACAUUCUAUUUAUUGUGCUUUUGUCUAUCAUGUUUCUGAUUGGUCAUAAGAAUCUCAAGUAAGGAAUUUGGCCAUUCUGAAGGUAACAAGCACAUUUAUGAUUUAUAGAAAAAUAUUUGAAGGACUUUUUAAUGGACCAAGUCAUGAAAAGUAGUAAUAUUCCUUUAAAUAUAAUUAUUAAAUAAUAUAUUAAUGUUCUUUCUUCCAACGUAUUACUCUCAUUCUUAAUUUUUUGAUUUCUGUGUACCUCCCCAGCUGAUAUCUCUUUUUUUCCUGCAUGUUUAGUUUUCACUCAUCCUUACAGCACAGCUCAAUUGUCCCCUUCAUGAAGCUUUCCAUAAUCUUCAUAGCUUCAUUAAUGUACUCCUCAUUAAUGUACUCUUGCCAUAUGAAACACUGUUUAUUUUGGCUUGCAUAUUUACUAUUUAAUGGGCCAUUUCUGUCACUAAAUCUUUUUCUUAUAGAACCUGGUAUAGUGUUGUGUUCUUUGUAAAAUCAGUUGACUGAUUUAACUCAGUAGAGUAGAGGCUGAUUAAAUAAAUCUGGUUGAUGCCAACAA
Non-coding RNA from Callithrix jacchus (white-tufted-ear marmoset), 2268 nucleotides. NCBI's taxonomy places the organism in Eukaryota, Metazoa, Chordata, Mammalia, Primates, Cebidae. The record is from RefSeq and is a predicted model, not a curated record.